GCUGAGGUAGUGUAGAGGUUAGCACGUAGGAUUUUGAUCAAUACUGGAUUAUUAUUAAAAUUCCUGAAUCCCCGGUUCGAACCCGGGCCCCAGCU
Ustulina deusta is the source of this 95-nucleotide non-coding RNA. The record is from the annotation of a GenBank genome assembly. NCBI's taxonomy places the organism in Eukaryota, Fungi, Ascomycota, Sordariomycetes, Xylariales, Xylariaceae.